ACUCCACAGUAAGACGGACCAGGAACAGCAGCAGCCUCCGGUGUCGGCCCAGUGAUCCGGGAGCUCAGAGUGUAGGUACCUGACGGCUUGACUCGUCCCCAGGACAAGGCCUGUGAGUGGGAGAGGGGCACUCUGAGUGUGCGAAUCUGUGAGAGUGUGUGUGUGUCUGGGCACGAGUGUGUAUGCGUGUGUGUGCAUGUAUAUUCACAUGUGUGAGGGUGUGAAUGUGUGUGUCUGUGGGUCUGGGCACAUGAGUGUGUGUGUGCAUAUACUACAUUCACGUGUGAGUGUGCAAAUGCGAGUGUGUCUGUAGGUCUGGGCACGUGUAUGCGUGUGUGUGCGAGUACUAUAUUCGCAUGUGUGAGUGUGCGAAUGUGUGUGUCUGUGGGUCUGGGCACACGAGUGUGUAUGCGUGUGUGUGCAUGUACUAUAUUCACGUGUGUGAGUGUGCGAAUGUGUCUGUGGGUCUGGGCACAUGAGUGUGUGCAUAUACUAUAUUCACGUGUGUGAGUGUGCAAAUGUGUGUCUGUAGGUCUGGGCACAUGUGUAUGCGUGUGUGUGCGAGUACUAUAUUCACGUGUGUGUGAGUGCGAAUGUGAGUGGGUGUGGGUCUGGUCACAUGUAUGUAUGCAUGUGUGCAUGUAUUAUAGUCAUGUGAGUGUGCAAAUGUGUGUGUGGGUCUGGGCACACAAGUGUGUAUGCAUGUGUUUCUAUUGUAUUCAUGUGAGUAUAAGUGCAAAUGUGUGAGUGUGUGUUCUCUGCACACACAAGUGUAUAGGUAUGUGUUUGUGUGUGCAUGCACUGUAUUCAUGUGAGUGUAUGUGAAUGUGUGACUGUGAGAGUUUGAGUGUGCCUGGGUGUCUGGCUAUACUAGUGCAUGUCUGUGUUCGUGUGCAUCAGUCUGGGUGUGCCCGUGUGUGAAUGUGUCUAUGCGUGGGUGUCCCAAUAUGUGUGUGCCUGUGUAUCCAUGUCUGGGUGUGCCUGUGAGUGUGAGUGUGCGCAUGGGUGUCUGGAUAUGUGAGUGCUUGUGACUACCUGUGUGUGUAUCCAUGUCUAGGUGUGAGUGUGAAUAUGUAAGUCUUGCGUGUGCAUGAGUGUGUUCACAUGAGUGUGAGGGUCUGUGCAUAAGAGCCUAUUGUGAGUGCAUGUGGAUUGCAUUUAUGUGAGUCCGUGUCUGUGUGCACGCACGUGUCCCCGCACAAGCCAGCCCGAGAGGGAGUGUCCCCUGAACACACCCUGGCAGCACUUGCAGCGUGAUGAGGUUGAGGGAAUGUGUCGCUGAGGUCGUAAAUGCCUCUCGCACGUCCCAACACGCUGGAGCAACAGCAGCCCGUGAUGCCGGCCGCGCAGCCGUGAAGUCCGUGGAGCGUCCCUAAUCACUGGGGGUUCUGCUUUGCGGUGACAGCGGUGCUACUCACAGCUCCAGAACUCUGCAGCUUCCCCCCUGAAACGGGAACGGGAAGGUGGCGCGGGCGUCCACACCUCGAGCCACAGCCGGCGGGAGGCACAGGCUGGCAAAACUGCCUCUCAGUAGUGAGAAGAGACAAACAAACCGAACGCCAGGAGCAGAGGAAACGAAGACGAUGUGGCCAAGAAAAAUUGCAUUUUUCUUUCCAGUUUUGCUAAAAUAGCCUUCUCAUUGGCUGCGGCUUUGGAGGUGGCAGAAAUCAUACGUUUAAUCGGCGCCCUCCU
This 1692-nucleotide long non-coding RNA is filed under the name Homo sapiens (human). RNAcentral describes it as "HSALNT0385203". Lineage: Eukaryota; Metazoa; Chordata; Mammalia; Primates; Hominidae. The record is from RNAcentral.